GGGGGUGUAGCUCAGUUUGGUUAGAGCGCUGGCCUGUCACGCCAGAGGCCGCGGGUUCGAGUCCCGUCACUCCCGCCA
This 78-nucleotide transfer RNA is filed under the name Rhodospirillaceae bacterium. Its description in RNAcentral is "tRNA-Asp". It matches the Rfam family "tRNA". From Rfam's summary of the family: Transfer RNA (tRNA) molecules are approximately 80 nucleotides in length. Their secondary structure includes four short double-helical elements and three loops (D, anti-codon, and T loops). Further hydrogen bonds mediate the characteristic L-shaped molecular structure. tRNAs have two regions of fundamental functional importance: the anti-codon, which is responsible for specific mRNA codon recognition, and the 3' end, to which the tRNAs corresponding amino acid is attached (by aminoacyl-tRNA synthetases). tRNAs cope with the degeneracy of the genetic code in two manners: having more than one tRNA (with a specific anti-codon) for a particular amino acid; and 'wobble' base-pairing, i.e. permitting non-standard base-pairing at the 3rd anti-codon position. Lineage: Bacteria; Pseudomonadati; Pseudomonadota; Alphaproteobacteria; Rhodospirillales; Rhodospirillaceae. RNAcentral also lists the same sequence under 4 other names. The record is from RNAcentral.